GAGGGGAGUGAAAGAGAACCUGAAAACGUGUGCCUACAAGUAGUCAGAGCACGUUAAAGUGUGAUGGCGUGCCUUUUGUAGAAUGAACCGGCGAGUUGCGUUGUGGUGCAAGGUUAAGUCAGAAAAGACGGAGCCGAAGCGAAAGCGAGUCUGAAGAGGGCGAGAUAGUAUCAUGACGCAGACCCGAAACCAAGUGACCUACCCAUGACCAGGUUGAAGGCGUGGUAAAACACGCUGGAGGACCGAACCCACGCAAGUUGAAAAUUGCGGGGAUGAGUUGUGGGUAGCGGUGAAAUUCCAAACGAACUUGGAGAUAGCUGGUUCUCUCCGAAAUAGCUUUAGGGCUAGCCUCGUGGGAAUGAUAAUGGAGGUAGAGCACUGUUUGGACUAGGGGCCCGUCAGGGGUUACUGAAUCCAGAUAAACUACGAAUUCCAGAUAUCCAUACACGGGAGUCAGACUGCGAGUGAUAAGAUCCGUAGUCGAAAGGGAAACAGCCCAGAUCACCGGUUAAGGUCCCAAAAUCUAUGCUAAGUGGAAAAGGAUGUGGAGUUGCGUAGACAACUAGGAUGUUGGCUCAGAAGCAGCCACCAUUUAAAGAGUGCGUAAUAGCUCACUAGUCGAGUGACGCUGCGCCGAAAAUUUACCGGGGCUAAGCAUAGUACCGAAACCGUGGAUGCAGUUAGCUGCGUGGUAGGAGAGCGUUCUAAAGGCGGAGAAGGCAGAUCGAGAGGACUGUUGGAGCGUUUAGAAGUGAGAAUGCCGGUAUAAGUAGCGAAAGACAGGUGAGAAUCCUGUCCGCCGAAAGACUAAGGUUUCCUGGGGCAGGCUCGUCCGCCCAGGGUAAGUCGGGACCUAAGGCAAGGCCGAGAGGCGUAGUCGAUGGAUAACAGGUAGAGAUUCCUGUACUGUGUCAAAUCGUUAAGAGCGAAGGAGGGACGCAGGAGGUGAAGCACGCAUCGCGAUGGAACGAUGUUCAAGCAACAAGUGCGGUUAAGAGUCAAAUGCUUCUAACCAGCAACACGAGUUGUGAAGAGGAGUGAAUUAAAAGUAGCGAAGGUGUGGUAAUCACACUGCCAAGAAAAGCUUCUAGCCAGAGAUGACAUACCCGUACCGCAAACCGACACAGGUAGUCGAGUGGAGAACACUAAGGUGAGCGAGAGAACUCUCGUUAAGGAACUCGGCAAAAUGACCCCGUAACUUCGGAAGAAGGGGUGCUAGCCAAGAGAUUGGUUAGCCGCAGUGAAUAGGCCCAAACAACUGUUUAUCAAAAACACAGGUC
This 1280-nucleotide ribosomal RNA is filed under the name Streptococcus agalactiae. RNAcentral describes it as "partial 23S ribosomal RNA". It matches the Rfam family "Bacterial large subunit ribosomal RNA", at positions 531 to 1821 of the family's 2925-position model. The record is from RNAcentral. Lineage: Bacteria; Bacillati; Bacillota; Bacilli; Lactobacillales; Streptococcaceae.